UGGGGAAUUUUGGACAAUGGGCGAAAGCCUGAUCCAGCAAUGCCGCGUGUGUGAAGAAGGCCUUCGGGUUGUAAAGCACUUUUGUCCGGAAAGAAAUCCUUGGCUCUAAUACAGUCGGGGGAUGACGGUACCGGAAGAAUAAGCACCGGCUAACUACGUGCCAGCAGCCGCGGUAAUACGUAGGGUGCAAGCGUUAAUCGGAAUUACUGGGCGUAAAGCGUGCGCAGGCGGUUUGCUAAGACCGAUGUGAAAUCCCCGGGCUCAACCUGGGAACUGCAUUGGUGACUGGCAGGCUAGAGUAUGGCAGAGGGGGGUAGAAUUCCACGUGUGAGCAGUGAAAUGCGUAGAGAUGUGGAGGAAUACCGAUGGCGAAGGCAGCCCCCUGGGCCAAUACUGACGCUCAUGCACGAAAGCGUGGGGGAGCAAACAGGAUUAGAUACCCUGGCAGUCCACGCCCUAAACGAUGUC
This 468-nucleotide ribosomal RNA is filed under the name uncultured bacterium. RNAcentral describes it as "partial 16S ribosomal RNA". It matches the Rfam family "Bacterial small subunit ribosomal RNA", at positions 355 to 813 of the family's 1533-position model. The record is from RNAcentral.